AGCGAACGCUGGCGGCAUGCCUAGCACAUGCAAGUCGCACGGGGGGGCUUCGGCCUCCCAGUGGCGGACGGGUGAGGAACGCGUAGGGACCUGUCGAGGGGUGGGGGAUAACCGCGGGAAACUGCGGCUAAUACCGCAUGACGCCGCGGCGUGACAGCCGGGGCCAAAGGCGAAAGCCGCCCGCCGAGGGGCCUGCGUCCGAUUAGCUGGUUGGCGGGGUAGCGGCCCACCAAGGCGUCGAUCGGUAGCUGGUCUGAGAGGGUGAUCAGCCACACCGGGACUGAGACACGGCCCGGACUCCUACGGGAGGCAGCAGUGGGGAAUAUUGGACAAUGGGCGCAAGCCUGAUCCAGCAAUGCCGCGUGGGUGAAGAAGGUCUUCGGAUUGUAAAGCCCUUUCGGCGGGGACGAUGGUGACGGUACCCGCAGAAGAAGCCCCGGCUAACUUCGUG
This 451-nucleotide ribosomal RNA is filed under the name uncultured bacterium. RNAcentral describes it as "partial 16S ribosomal RNA". It matches the Rfam family "Bacterial small subunit ribosomal RNA", at positions 28 to 507 of the family's 1533-position model. The record is from RNAcentral.